CAACCAGUGAGUAAUCCGAGGGAACAAUGCAUGGCUCAAGAGACUCAUCCGAAUGAUGUUCACCAUGAACAAGCUAAUGCCAUGACUACCUUAAGAAGCGGACGCGUAGUGGACAAUAAGGUUGGAGAAAAAGAACAUAAGAAAAAUGAAGACAAGAGUAUGACUGUGCCUAACAAGAAUCCAAACACUUUCUUAUCUCCAUCUAGUCCAGUAUCGACCAUACCUUUUACACCGAAGGCUCCUUUUCCUCAGUGUCUGAAUGCACCUUCUUCCUUUGGCAAGAAAGAAACUUCGUUGGAAGAAAUAAUGGAGGUAUUCAAAUAAGUCAAAAUCAACCUCCCUCUCCUUGAUGCUAUAAAACAAGUUACAUCGUAUGCCAAAUUUCUCAAAGACCUUUGUACCCAGAAACGAAAAUCUAGGACACAUGUGCCUAAAAAGGUCUUCCUAACUGAACAAGUGAGCUCCAUCCUCCAGCACAA
Molecule: long non-coding RNA, 479 nt
Filed under: Phoenix dactylifera (date palm)
Lineage: Eukaryota; Viridiplantae; Streptophyta; Magnoliopsida; Arecales; Arecaceae
Description: long non-coding RNA (PDAC_LNC014464)
Source: RNAcentral